RNAcentral lists this transfer RNA (62 nucleotides) under Ornithodoros hermsi. RNAcentral's name for it is "tRNA-Gly". Lineage: Eukaryota; Metazoa; Arthropoda; Arachnida; Ixodida; Argasidae. The record is from RNAcentral.
UAUUUUAUUAGUAUAAUAGUACAUUUAACUUCCAAUUAAAAAGUUUUUUAAAAAUAAAAUAA